UACGUAGGGGGCAAGCGUUGUCCGGAAUCAUUGGGCGUAAAGAGCGUGUAGGCGGCCUGGUAAGUCCGCUGUGAAAGUCCAGGGCUCAACCCUGGAAUGCCGGUGGAAACUGUCGAGCUAGAGUCCGGAAGAGGCGAGUGGAAUUCCUGGUGUAGCGGUGAAAUGCGCAGAUAUCAGGAGGAACACCAAUGGCGAAGGCGGAUCUCUGGGCCUUACCUGACGCUCAGGUGCGAAAGCUAGGGGAGCGAACAGG
This 253-nucleotide ribosomal RNA is filed under the name uncultured bacterium. RNAcentral's name for it is "partial 16S ribosomal RNA". It matches the Rfam family "Bacterial small subunit ribosomal RNA", at positions 524 to 776 of the family's 1533-position model. The record is from RNAcentral.